Aedes aegypti (yellow fever mosquito) is the source of this 72-nucleotide non-coding RNA. The record is from Rfam. NCBI's taxonomy places the organism in Eukaryota, Metazoa, Arthropoda, Insecta, Diptera, Culicidae.
UGCUCUGUAGCUUAGUUGGUAAAGCGCUCAUCCAGCAUAUAAGAUUCUUGGGUUCGAAUCUCAGCCGAGCAC